RNAcentral lists this ribosomal RNA (481 nucleotides) under uncultured bacterium. RNAcentral describes it as "partial 16S ribosomal RNA". It matches the Rfam family "Bacterial small subunit ribosomal RNA", at positions 28 to 507 of the family's 1533-position model. The record is from RNAcentral.
GAUGAACGCUGGCGGCGUGCCUAACACAUGCAAGUCGAACGGAGAUUACGGACGGAAGUUUUCGGAUGGAAGCCUGUAAUUCUUAGUGGCGGACGGGUGAGUAACGCGUGGGCAACCUGCCCUAUACAGGGGGAUAGCAGCUGGAAACGGCUGGUAAGACCGCAUAAGUCGGUUAAAUCGCAUGAUUUGAUCGGGAAAUGAGCAAUCAGGUAUAGGAUGGGCCCGCGUCCGAUUAGCCAGUUGGCAGGGUAAAAGCCUACCAAAGCGACGAUCGGUAGCCGGACUGAGAGGCCGGACGGCCACAUUGGGACUGAGACACGGCCCAAACUCCUACGGGAGGCAGCAGUGGGGGAUAUUGCACAAUGGAGGAAACUCUGAUGCAGCGACGCCGCGUGAGUGAAGAAGUAUUUCGGUAUGUAAAGCUCUAUCAGCAGGGAAGAUGAUGACGGUACCUGAAGAAGAAGCCCCGGCUAACUACGUG